GCUAUAUAUCAACAAGGGCUUUAAAAAUCACGAGGAACUAACCUGGCUGAGUUUCAGACUAAAUUUAGAAGACCCUCAUGCACUUGGCUAUUUGGUCUUUACAACAAUCCCAUUCGCCUCAAGUGCAGAGAAUGGGUAGCAGAAGGGAUGAGGAAUUGUCAUCUCCUCAAGGGACAGCAAAGGUAAAAGAGGUUAGGACACAGGAAGAUGAGGGAAGAGUCCGCAAUGGCAGAGACACUCACUGAGUCUUCUCCAAAACAUCUCUCGAUUAAAUUCUUCAGCUGUCUCCUGGGCUUCGCCGACUUGAGGAAUGCCGGACCACCCCAAAAGCAAAAGACAGUGUAGCGACCCCGCCUUCCCAGACAGCCUGGCCAUCAGUCCUGGCCUUCGCCUGCCUAGAGACCCGCCUACCGGAAUCCAGCCCACUCAGAAACCAGACCACGCCUCCCGGCGGCCAAGAAACCUGCCCACGCCCCGCUGGCCCUGGCCUAGAGACGCAGC
Grammomys surdaster is the source of this 501-nucleotide long non-coding RNA. RefSeq lists it as uncharacterized. The record is from RefSeq and is a predicted model, not a curated record. NCBI's taxonomy places the organism in Eukaryota, Metazoa, Chordata, Mammalia, Rodentia, Muridae. The transcript has 3 exons.